UACGGGGGGGGCUAGCGUUGUUCGGAAUUACUGGGCGUAAAGGGCGCGUAGGCGGUCUGCUAAGUCAGACGUGAAAUCCCUCAGCUCAACUGGGGAACUGCGUCUGAGACUGGUGGGCUUGAGUGCAGGAGAGGAACGCGGAAUUCCAGGUGUAGCGGUGAAAUGCGUAGAUAUCUGGAGGAACACCGGUGGCGAAGGCGGCGUUCUGGACUGUUACUGACACUGAGGAACGAAAGCCAGGGGAGCAAACGGG
RNAcentral lists this ribosomal RNA (253 nucleotides) under uncultured bacterium. Its description in RNAcentral is "partial 16S ribosomal RNA". It matches the Rfam family "Bacterial small subunit ribosomal RNA", at positions 524 to 776 of the family's 1533-position model. The record is from RNAcentral.